This 375-nucleotide ribosomal RNA is filed under the name Anaplasma platys. RNAcentral describes it as "bacterial SSU rRNA". It matches the Rfam family "Bacterial small subunit ribosomal RNA", at positions 95 to 506 of the family's 1533-position model. The record is from RNAcentral. Lineage: Bacteria; Pseudomonadati; Pseudomonadota; Alphaproteobacteria; Rickettsiales; Anaplasmataceae.
UUGGCGACGGGUGAGUAUGCAUAGGAAUCUACCUAGUAGUAUGGGAUAGCCACUAGAAAUGGUGGGUAAUACUGUACAAUCCCUGCGGGGGAAAGAUUUAUCGCUAUUAGAUGAGCCUAUGUUAGAUUAGCUAGUUGGUAGGGUAAAGGCCUACCAAGGCAGUGAUCUAUAGCUGGUCUGAGAGGAUGAUCAGCCACACUGGAACUGAGAUACGGUCCAGACUCCUACGGGAGGCAGCAGUGGGGAAUAUUGGACAAUGGGCGCAAGCCUGAUCCAGCUAUGCCGCGUGAGUGAGGAAGGCCUUAGGGUUGUAAAACUCUUUCAGUGGGGAAGAUAAUGACGGUACCCACAGAAGAAGUCCGGGGCAAACUCUAA